AUGCAUGGCUCCAAGGUGCAUGUCCAUAUCGCUUCUAAAAUCCACAACCAAGUCAACAUCACCAAAAGUAUUGAACACGUUGGGCGUAGUCAAGAAGGUCCGGUUCCAACAUGGCCCUUCUUGCCUUACAAUGAUAUUGUCGUUAACAAAGAUAUUGGCAUGUGCUCGUCCUUGGUGUGGGAUCAUUGUCAACUUUAUCCUUUGGGUGUUCACACUGAGAUUGGUGAAGGAAGCCACCAUUUAGAGAGUAUGAAUGACCCUGUAAUGUUCUUGCAUGGUUCUGCCAUAGGGGAUAAAGUGCAAUCGUUGCAUGUGCAUGACAAUGUCUCGGUCACAACUAUCAUUCCAGAGUUAUCACUACAUUGGAACAGUCUAGAAUGGUGUCAUGUUGAGAGAUGCCCUAAGAUGCACAAUGUCUUCUCUCAUUCACUUGGAAUUAAUACCUUUAACUCAAUAAGGAUAUUUUCUGCAUGUGAUCUCCUUAUGGCCCAUUGCAUCUGGAGUAGACACAUUGGACAUCACUGUGGGCUACAACACAUAUACUUGCACAACUGUCCUAGGCUGGUGUUUGUGCUCCCCAUUUCCUCCACCUUGCCAAACUUGGAGACAAUUCAGAUUGCAUACUGUCGUAACAUCCAACAUAUUUUCCCACUAUAUCAAAACCAUCGCCGUAUAGCAUGUGGUGUCACAUUCAAGAAGCUUCGGCACAUCAAGCUAUAUCAUCUCCACAAGCUAGAGCAAAUAUGCGAGGUUAGACUGUUUGCGCCAGCGUUGGAGACGGUCAACCUCAGGGACUGCUGGGGCCUAAGACGGCUACCAGCCGUGUCACGUGAAGGUCCCAAGCCGGUACUGGACUGCGAGAAGGACUGGUGGGAUAGGUUCGAGCGGGACGGCUCCAAGGCCAACCAUGAGCCGUCACUCUUCGAAACACGCCACUAG
Molecule: ribosomal RNA, 939 nt
Filed under: Triticum aestivum (bread wheat)
Lineage: Eukaryota; Viridiplantae; Streptophyta; Magnoliopsida; Poales; Poaceae
Description: partial small subunit ribosomal RNA
Source: RNAcentral